RNAcentral lists this ribosomal RNA (448 nucleotides) under uncultured bacterium. RNAcentral's name for it is "partial 16S ribosomal RNA". It matches the Rfam family "Bacterial small subunit ribosomal RNA", at positions 328 to 792 of the family's 1533-position model. The record is from RNAcentral.
UCCCCAGACUCCUACGGGAGGCAGCAGUGGGGAAUAUUGCACAAUGGGGGAAACCCUGAUGCAGCGACGCCGCGUGGGCGGCGAAGCGCUCCGGCGCGUAAAGCCCUGUCAGCAGGGAAGAACAAAGACAGUACCUGACCAAGAAGCCCCGGCUAACUACGUGCCAGCAGCCGCGGUAAUACGUAGGGGGCAAGCGUUAUCCGGAUUUACUGGGUGUAAAGGGAGCGUAGGCGGUUUAGCAAGUCAGAAGUGAAAGCCCGGGGCUUAACUCCGGGACUGCUUUUGAAACUGUUGAACUAGAUUGCAGGAGAGGUAAGUGGAAUUCCUAGUGUAGCGGUGAAAUGCGUAGAUAUUAGGAGGAACACCAGUGGCGAAGGCGGCUUACUGGACUGUAAAUGACGCUGAGGCUCGAAAGCGUGGGGAGCAAACAGGAUUAGAUACCCGCGUA